This 24-nucleotide non-coding RNA is filed under the name Drosophila melanogaster (fruit fly). The record is from RNAcentral. Lineage: Eukaryota; Metazoa; Arthropoda; Insecta; Diptera; Drosophilidae.
AAGUACUAUAAGCGAUGAAAUUUU